Molecule: long non-coding RNA, 836 nt
Organism: Cygnus olor (mute swan)
Lineage: Eukaryota; Metazoa; Chordata; Aves; Anseriformes; Anatidae
Exons: 5
Source: RefSeq, a predicted model, not a curated record
AACAGACUCAAGUGAAGAAAGUUUUUGAGGUGUUGGAUUCUGAAGGCUGCUUCAGAUCUAUCUUGGGACCUCCUGAGAGAUUUCCAGAGAUUCUCAUCAGCUUGUCAUAAAAGAUCUUGCCAAGCUGAGAGGCCUCCACCUGGACUGACAUCACAGUCUCACAUAAUAAACAAGAGUCCUGUCCACUAAACCCUUUCAAGCUGUAUGUUUUAAUCAAGUUUUCAGUUGAUGCAAAGAUUUUGGUGAAAAUCCCACUUUGAAAAAAUCACACUGGCUAUCUACUGGCAAGGAGACCCAAAACAGGCAAGGAAGAUGGAUUUGUUUCAGCCCAUCCUUCUGCCAUCCUUAUGUCAGAACCCACGAGUUUCCUCACCAACUGCCUCCCGGUUCUGCUGGCACAGCCAUCUGUAGUGUCUGGAGGUGGAAACCUCAGAGCGCUCCCUCAGCUGCCUUGGUCCUUGGUCAUGUCAGCUCUCCAGUCACCUCCACUCAGCAGCAUCUACUGGCUUUUUGGGUACCUUCAGAAACAAGGAAGUCAGAGGUGCUCUGUAGAAUAUUCCCCUUUUUGUCCUUCACUGCACUGGAAACUUAAGUAUUUGGCCAGAAGGAGGGAAGGAACCACAAAAAGGGGCCACAAUGCAGCCAGAGUAAACAUGAGCUUCACAGAGGCAAACCAUCUUGCUCCAGCAGUACUGGUAAGAGAAACAAAGUUGGACUUGGCUCUCCUGUGAUAGGCCGUGCGCAGGGCAAGCCAAACAAAUGAGUAAAACUGAGCCCAUUGCUGGGUGUCCACCAAAAAUUGGAUUUAGAACUGUAAACCUCAAUAAAUAAAUAAA